AACGAACGCUGGCGGCAUGCCUAACACAUGCCAGUCGAACGAGACCUUCGGGUCUAGUGGCGCACGGGUGCGUAACGCGUGGGAACCUGCCCUUAGGUUCGGAAUAACUCCCCGAAAGGGGUGCUAAUACCGGAUAAUGUCUUCGGACCAAAGAUUUAUCACCUUUGGAUGGGCCCGCGUUGGAUUAGCUAGUUGGUAGGGUAAAAGCCUACCAAGGCGACGAUCCAUAGCUGGUCUGAGAGGAUGAUCAGCCACACUGGGACUGAGACACGGCCCAGACUCCUACGGGAGGCAGCAGUGGGGAAUAUUGGACAAUGGGCGAAAGCCUGAUCCAGCAAUGCCGCGUGAGUGAUGAAGGCCUUAGGGUUGUAAAGCUCUUUUACCCGGGAUGAUAAUGACAGUACCGGGAGAAUAAGCGCCGGCUAACUACGUG
This 433-nucleotide ribosomal RNA is filed under the name uncultured bacterium. RNAcentral describes it as "partial 16S ribosomal RNA". It matches the Rfam family "Bacterial small subunit ribosomal RNA", at positions 29 to 507 of the family's 1533-position model. The record is from RNAcentral.